RNAcentral lists this ribosomal RNA (433 nucleotides) under uncultured bacterium. Its description in RNAcentral is "bacterial SSU rRNA". It matches the Rfam family "Bacterial small subunit ribosomal RNA", at positions 29 to 507 of the family's 1533-position model. The record is from RNAcentral.
AACGAACGCUGGCGGCAGGCCUAACACAUGCAAGUCGAACGCCCUAGCAAUAGGGAGUGGCAGACGGGUGAGUAACACGUGGGAACCUUCCCUAUAGUACGGAAUAGCCCAGGGAAACUUGGAGUAAUACCGUAUAAGCCCGAGAGGGGAAAGAUUUAUCGCUAUAGGAUGGGCCCGCGUCGGAUUAGCUAGUUGGUGAGGUAAUGGCUCACCAAGGCGACGAUCCGUAGCUGGUUUGAGAGAACGACCAGCCACACUGGGACUGAGACACGGCCCAGACUCCUACGGGAGGCAGCAGUGGGGAAUAUUGGACAAUGGGCGAAAGCCUGAUCCAGCCAUGCCGCGUGAGUGACGAAGGCCUUAGGGUUGUAAAGCUCUUUUGUCGGGGACGAUAAUGACGGUACCCGAAGAAUAAGCUCCGGCUAACUUCGUG